Small nucleolar RNA from Coffea eugenioides, 107 nucleotides. NCBI's taxonomy places the organism in Eukaryota, Viridiplantae, Streptophyta, Magnoliopsida, Gentianales, Rubiaceae. The record is from RefSeq and is a predicted model, not a curated record.
UACUGGUGAUGAGGACAUUGAGCAAGUAGCAACUUAAAUCGUUCCCAAACUUCGUAAAUGGGCUCUCCCUCCAUUUGAGUAAAGGAACAAAUUUUGUUCCUUAGAUC